This is a long non-coding RNA of Triticum aestivum (bread wheat), 1321 nucleotides long. RefSeq lists it as uncharacterized. The transcript is spliced from 3 exons. The record is from RefSeq and is a predicted model, not a curated record. NCBI's taxonomy places the organism in Eukaryota, Viridiplantae, Streptophyta, Magnoliopsida, Poales, Poaceae.
GGGGGAGGCUGCUGGUGGCGGUGCUAGGUUACUCCUGGGUCGCUCGCUCGGGAGCGACACGGGACGGGAGUCGGAGGCAAGCCCGUACAACUUAAAACUUGCACAUACAAGUCAUGAUAUCACAGGAUACCAGAUGUUUUUUGUUUCUGUCAUUCUAGAUCAUGGAUGGGUUGCAUACAUGUGGGAUAUGCUGAAGGAGAUUCAUGUUCUGGACUCAUUGUGCGCUCAAGUUGUUGGAGGAGUGCAGCGGCAUAUGAUCCACCAUGAGGCUGUCUCACAGAUUCACUCGGCAUUAUUCAGCUGCCUACAGUGAGUUCUUUGCGAAAUGGCAUUGUCCAGCUGACAGAUGGAAGGGUAGAUUCCUCAAGAUAAUGUUAAGCUGAGCUAGAUGAUGGCCCAACUACACUCAAAUUCAGAUAAACAUCAAGAACAGAAAGGAAGUUGCGGAACUUUGCUUAGGGUUUGUAGCACUCAAAGACGAACAGGUUGAUCCAGACGGGUCACGGUGGCUGGGGUUUAACCCUAUUACAAUUCUAGAUGCCUCUACCGAUAUCCAAAUCUUGGCUUUAUAGCCAUUACAAAACAGAAAGUAAUCUGAAAGGUAAAAGGAGAGCAGGUGAAGUUGCUGGACAAUCAACAGCGACCCUUGACGUGAUGGCUGCCGUCCGAUGGAAGAUCAAUGUCUCUCAGCAGCUGUCUGUGGCGCGAAGCGGUAGUGGAGGCCAGCGUCAUUGGAUGUGAAUCGGACAGUGGAGUUUGAAUCAACAGCUGAAGCGAUAACCUGCAAUUAACUGAAGAUGGGCUGUUGUCGAUUUUCAGAUAAGGGGCCUGACAGAUAAAACGCGAUGUUUUCACUAGUGACGAGUCUGGGAUGUGUAUGCUUGAUGCAAUCAGGCAGUACGAUGGAGAUAAGAUGAUGUGGCCAUUGACGAAAGGUUCAUAGUCUGUUUGACUUUCUUACUUCUUUCAUAAAUUUGUCGGAUGAGAACUUUCGCAGCCAGAGCUUGCAUGCUGUUUUGGCUCUGAAAUCUGCAGAAAAACUUGGCCACUUUUCGGCAAACAGCUGUUUUCGAGGUAUUUUGUUUGCAUGACGAGCACAGAAAUUGUGUCUGAAAAUUUGUUACGGGCUGCCCUAGAAGACCAUGAAUGGGUGUUAUCGCCAAUGCUUAUGUAGUGUGCAAAUUGUUCAUCACCUUGUGAGGGUUUGGACGGUAUGUUUAGUGAUCUAAACGGUUUUAUAUUUCAUUAUGGAGGGAGUACUUUUUGUUAGGAUGGAACUAGUAAGUACGUGGAUCUUCUAAAUGACUUGUUAGCUAUAUUG